Corvus hawaiiensis (hawaiian crow) is the source of this 1287-nucleotide long non-coding RNA. RefSeq lists it as uncharacterized. The record is from RefSeq and is a predicted model, not a curated record. The transcript is spliced from 2 exons. Lineage: Eukaryota; Metazoa; Chordata; Aves; Passeriformes; Corvidae.
GCUGUGGGGAGGAGAAACAGCGCACCGUCUGGUCACUCAUCAGCUCCCUGCUCUUCCCUCUCGCUCCUUUCUGCAGCAGCACCGCGGCUGCCACAAGUCCACCAGCACCAUUCCCGCUUUCUUGCAGACUCCACAGCUCAACACCCUCCCUUCUAGCCUCCCAAAGAGACUUGGAUGAAGGAUUUCAAUCUGCUCUGCCUCUUGCUGAGAGCAUAGAAAGAGCAUGUGGGUCUCUACCUUCUCACAAACUUUGGGACACAGAUGUUUGGUUGUAAUUGUGCUCUCUAAUUGUGAUAUUGUGAGUUCAGCCUUGCAUCUUGCUCAUUUUCCUGUAAAGAACUCCAGAACUCUUGGAGAUACAAAUAAAAAUCCCAGCUCCAUCCCUUCUAGCUGUGCUGACUCCACCCACCUAUGACACUAGCUCAUUUUCAUCCCCAAAACAAUAGAUAUAUUUGCAGAGUCACCCAGGAGAUGUGUUGAGGAACAAGGAGAUACUUUUUACCAUAGCUUCUGGAGUCCUGGAGUUUUUUCUGCUUCUACAAGCAUUUCAGAGGACCUCCAUCUGCUUGUAAUUGGAGCCAGAUAAUGCUUUUUAAUGAUCUAAAAGCACUUUUCAAGAACGGGAUAUACUUUAAAUGGGUGAUACUUGCAGAAAUAUUUCUGGGCAGAAAGAAACCAUCAAGGGAUAACUGUUAAAUAAUUAAAGGACCUAACCAGUGGGAUGCUUUGCCUAGGAAACAAGGCGGUGUUUGAGAAAGUGAGGCCAACUCACAAGUGUUUGCCACAAAGGUUUAUACAACCCUUGUCCUUCACCUUUCAGGUGCAAAAUCCAAGUCUGGUUUUGGAGGACCUGUUGUUGACCUGAAGGAGGAAAAAGCCAAUUCUGAUACUUCUUGGGAUACCUCCUGACAGCUUUUCAGUAUAUAGUCCCCAGCUGAAUUUGUGGUCUCAUCAGCAUCCCCAAACCCUGCACAUCCAUGCUUCUGGUGACACUUCCAGCAAAGCUGCAGACAUGCAAGAGAGACUGAGUCUGAGCUAGAAUCCUACCAGAAAUUUUGCGCCUGACUCCCUUAUGCUACAGAGAAAUGAGUUCUCUACAAAGCCGCUGUCGUGGUUUGGACAGGGAGAAGCUCCACACAGGGUGAUUUUUCACCAACUUCUGAAUCACGUCAAGAUACAAAAUCAAUCUGUCUGCUGCUCAUUCACUGCUGCUACAUUUUUUCCCUGGUGUUUCUGCAAACUUCACCCAGUGCAGAAAAAGCACAUUAAUAAAAGCCAAAGAGCCUG